This 1132-nucleotide ribosomal RNA is filed under the name Escherichia coli. RNAcentral describes it as "partial 23S ribosomal RNA". It matches the Rfam family "Bacterial large subunit ribosomal RNA", at positions 1216 to 2330 of the family's 2925-position model. Lineage: Bacteria; Pseudomonadati; Pseudomonadota; Gammaproteobacteria; Enterobacterales; Enterobacteriaceae. The record is from RNAcentral.
AUGCGUUGUUGGGUAGGGGAGCGUUCUGUAAGCCUGUGAAGGUGUGCUGUGAGGCAUGCUGGAGGUAUCAGAAGUGCGAAUGCUGACAUAAGUAACGAUAAAGCGGGUGAAAAGCCCGCUCGCCGGAAGACCAAGGGUUCCUGUCCAACGUUAAUCGGGGCAGGGUGAGUCGACCCCUAAGGCGAGGCCGAAAGGCGUAGUCGAUGGGAAACAGGUUAAUAUUCCUGUACUUGGUGUUACUGCGAAGGGGGGACGGAGAAGGCUAUGUUGGCCGGGCGACGGUUGUCCCGGUUUAAGCGUGUAGGCUGGUUUUCCAGGCAAAUCCGGAAAAUCAAGGCUGAGGCGUGAUGACGAGGCACUACGGUGCUGAAGCAACAAAUGCCCUGCUUCCAGGAAAAGCCUCUAAGCAUCAGGUAACAUCAAAUCGUACCCCAAACCGACACAGGUGGUCAGGUAGAGAAUACCAAGGCGCUUGAGAGAACUCGGGUGAAGGAACUAGGCAAAAUGGUGCCGUAACUUCGGGAGAAGGCACGCUGAUAUGUAGGUGAAGUCCCUCGCGGAUGGAGCUGAAAUCAGUCGAAGAUACCAGCUGGCUGCAACUGUUUAUUAAAAACACAGCACUGUGCAAACACGAAAGUGGACGUAUACGGUGUGACGCCUGCCCGGUGCCGGAAGGUUAAUUGAUGGGGUUAGCCGCAAGGCGAAGCUCUUGAUCGAAGCCCCGGUAAACGGCGGCCGUAACUAUAACGGUCCUAAGGUAGCGAAAUUCCUUGUCGGGUAAGUUCCGACCUGCACGAAUGGCGUAAUGAUGGCCAGGCUGUCUCCACCCGAGACUCAGUGAAAUUGAACUCGCUGUGAAGAUGCAGUGUACCCGCGGCAAGACGGAAAGACCCCGUGAACCUUUACUAUAGCUUGACACUGAACAUUGAGCCUUGAUGUGUAGGAUAGGUGGGAGGCUUGGAAGUGUGGACGCCAGUCUGCAUGGAGCCGACCUUGAAAUACCACCCUUUAAUGUUUGAUGUUCUAACGUUGACCCGUAAUCCGGGUUGCGGACAGUGUCUGGUGGGUAGUUUGACUGGGGCGGUCUCCUCCUAAAGAGUAACGGAGGAGCACGAAGGUUGGCUAAUCCUGG